Molecule: ribosomal RNA, 428 nt
Filed under: Pseudomonadota bacterium
Lineage: Bacteria; Pseudomonadati; Pseudomonadota
Description: Proteobacteria bacterium partial 16S ribosomal RNA
Rfam family: Bacterial small subunit ribosomal RNA
Source: RNAcentral
UGGGGAAUAUUGGACAAUGGGCGAAAGCCUGAUCCAGCCAUGCCGCGUGUGUGAAGAAGGUCUUCGGAUUGUAAAGCACUUUAAGUUGGGAGGAAGGGCAGUAAGCGAAUACCUUGCUGUUUUGACGUUACCGACAGAAUAAGCACCGGCUAACUCUGUGCCAGCAGCCGCGGUAAUACAGAGGGUGCAAGCGUUAUCGGAAUUACUGGGCGUAAAGCGCGCGUAGGUGGUUCGUUAAGUUGAAUGUGAAAGCCCCGGGCUCAACCUGGGAACUGCAUCCAAAACUGGCGAGCUAGAGUAGGGCAGAGGGUGGUGGAAUUUCCUGUGUAGCGGUGAAAUGCGUAGAUAUAGGAAGGAACACCAGUGGCGAAGGCGACCACCUGGGCUCAUACUGACACUGAGGUGCGAAAGCGUGGGGAGCAAACAGG